RNAcentral lists this long non-coding RNA (240 nucleotides) under Nicotiana benthamiana. RNAcentral describes it as "long non-coding RNA (NBEN_LNC006348)". Lineage: Eukaryota; Viridiplantae; Streptophyta; Magnoliopsida; Solanales; Solanaceae. The record is from RNAcentral.
AUUGGAGGUGCUUGGCUAGCGAGGAAUGAAGUGACCACAAGACACUUUUCAUGUCAGUGGCACUACCUACAGACUUGCCAGGGGUAAAUAAUCAACUAUGAGAUACACAUAACAGGCAUCGGUGUUUCUUUUAUUAAAGGGGGAAACACCGGACAAACCACCCCUAUCACAAAUCUUCUGGUUACAGAAGUGGUUUAGGGUUUAACAAUAUUUAUGUGCAAUCUCAACCCCACACCCCCG